RNAcentral lists this ribosomal RNA (501 nucleotides) under uncultured bacterium. RNAcentral describes it as "partial 16S ribosomal RNA". It matches the Rfam family "Bacterial small subunit ribosomal RNA", at positions 30 to 523 of the family's 1533-position model. The record is from RNAcentral.
AUUGAACGCUGGCGGCAGGCUUAACACAUGCAAGUCGAGCGGGGGAAGGUAGCUUGCUACCGGACCUAGCGGCGGACGGGUGAGUAAUGCUUAGGAAUCUGCCUAUUAGUGGGGGACAACAUCUCGAAAGGGAUGCUAAUACCGCAUACGUCCUACGGGAGAAAGCAGGGGAUCUUCGGACCUUGCGCUAAUAGAUGAGCCUAAGUCGGAUUAGCUAGUUGGUGGGGUCAAGGCCUACCAAGGCGACGAUCUGUAGCGGGUCUGAGAGGAUGAUCCGCCACACUGGGACUGAGACACGGACCAGACUCCUACGGGAGGCAGCAGUGGGGAAUAUUGGACAAUGGGGGGAACCCUGAUCCAGCCAUGCCGCGUGUGUGAAGAAGGCCUUAUGGUUGUAAAGCACUUUAAGCGAGGAGGAGGCUACUCUAGUUAAUACCUAGGGAUAGUGGACGUUACUCGCAGAAUAAGCACCGGCUAACUCUGUGCCAGCCGCCGCCGUAA